Molecule: ribosomal RNA, 479 nt
Filed under: Limosilactobacillus fermentum
Lineage: Bacteria; Bacillati; Bacillota; Bacilli; Lactobacillales; Lactobacillaceae
Description: bacterial SSU rRNA
Rfam family: Bacterial small subunit ribosomal RNA
Source: RNAcentral
GCUUGGGGCCAUUGCCUAUAAUGCAGUCGAACGCGUUGGCCCAAUUGAUUGAUGGUGCUUGCACCUGAUUGAUUUUGGUCGCCAACGAGUGGCGGACGGGUGAAUGCCUUGGUACUAGACUGCCCAGAAGCGGGGGACAACAUUUGGAAACAGAUGCUAAUACCGCAUAACAACGUUGUUCGCAUGAACAACGCUUAAAAGAUGGCUUCUCGCUAUCACUUCUGGAUGGACCUGCGGUGCAUUAGCUUGUUGGUGGGGUAAUGGCCUACCAAGGCGAUGAUGCAUAGCCGAGUUGAGAGACUGAUCGGCCACAAUGGGACUGAGACACGGCCCAUACUCCUACGGGAGGCAGCAGUAGGGAAUCUUCCACAAUGGGCGCAAGCCUGAUGGAGCAACACCGCGUGAGUGAAGAAGGGUUUCGGCUCGUAAAGCUCUGUUGUUAAAGAAGAACACGUAUGAGAGCAACUGUUCGUACGCUC